Sitodiplosis mosellana (orange wheat blossom midge) is the source of this 838-nucleotide long non-coding RNA. RefSeq lists it as uncharacterized. Lineage: Eukaryota; Metazoa; Arthropoda; Insecta; Diptera; Cecidomyiidae. The transcript is spliced from 3 exons. The record is from RefSeq and is a predicted model, not a curated record.
CUUUCAGUGGUGAGUGACGGUUUUUUUCUUUUAUUGUGAUAUUUUGUGCACUACUCGGUGUUGCACAUUGCCAGAAAAUCGGGAGGUACUUUAUACAAUUCAUCAGUUACGGAUUCGUCUAUAUUGAUGCGAAUACAAGUUACAAAGGUUGUACAUAGCUAGCGAACCGAGACUUUGUGUAUAAGCGAAGCCGAAACUCGUAAAAUGUAUAAAAUACGAGCCGAUAAUGUUCAGCACUGAAAAGGUCUCCCGGUCUCCCUGAUGAAUCGCCCAUACAAAAUCUUGUUAAUGGUUUUAAUUGAUUUUUUUUCAUGAUUCAAACAUCUAUUGAUUUAUGCCUACUUUGAAAGAGAAAAAACAAUUUCCUGUCGAUUUGUUGUGCGAAAAAUGAAAUUGAAUCUAACAUUUGCAUUGUAUUGUGUUGCUAUCGUCAAAGACUUUUCGGAUGAUUCGGACCGAGCUGAUAAGGAGUGGUGAAUUGGAUGUGAUAUUACGAACAAUUUAAACUUCAUCUGAAUGCACUUCAGUGCGUCAUUGGUUUGCGCAUGGAUCGCGAUCUCUUUUUGUACGUAUCGUAUUUGAUCAUUGCAUGUUUGGUAUACUUGUUGAUCAGGAUACUUGUGAUAAUUUCUAACCGCAAGUACAGAACGUCCUCUGAAUCGGAAAAACCCGACGUGAUUACAGUACGAAAUACAAUGACCUACGAUCAAUAGAUUGUCAUUGCCGAAAUAUAAGUCUGACAACAUUUGAUCAAAUGUAGAUUCUAACAUCAAAUCGAAUAUUGUAACAGUCAAGCUUCUCUGAAUAAAGUCAUUUUGUUUGUUAAAACAAAUAUUGC